CAGGAAACCUUUAAGAUUCGUGCACGAGCAGUUCUCUUGGAGAUUCUUCUUGCAGAUGGGAAAAAGCUUUUGAUUGACACCCACACAACUCACUCAGCAGAGCAGAUGCUGGAGAUUGUUGCCCAAAAGCUUGAAUUGGCCCGGCAGUUUUUGGAACACUUUGACCUCUACCUCGUCUGUGAGCUUCCUAAUCAAGGAUACUCUGUACUGAAAAGGCUAAUG
Molecule: long non-coding RNA, 222 nt
Organism: Rhincodon typus (whale shark)
Lineage: Eukaryota; Metazoa; Chordata; Chondrichthyes; Orectolobiformes; Rhincodontidae
Exons: 4
Source: RefSeq, a predicted model, not a curated record